AGUGAACGCUGGCGGCGUGCCUAAUACAUGCAAGUCGAACGGAGUGGCGCACGGGUGAGUAAUAUAUAGUUAAUCUGCCCUAUACAGAGGAGCAACAGUUGGAAACGACUGCUAAUACCUCAUAGUGUCGGAUGAGACUAUAUCGUAUCAGCUAGUUGGUAAGGUAAUGGCUUUCCAAGGGUAUGACGCGUAACUGGUCUGAGAGGAUGAUCAGUCACAUUGGAAGAGAGGCACGAUCCUAACACGUACGGGAGGCAGCAGUAAGGAAUAUUGCUCAAUGGGGGAAACCCGGACGGAGCAACGCAGCGUGGAGGAUGACACUUUUCGGAGCGUAAACUCCUUUUAGCAGGAAAGCGGUACCUGAUGAAUAAGCACCGGCUAACUCCGUGCCAGCAGCCGCGGUAAUUC
RNAcentral lists this ribosomal RNA (408 nucleotides) under uncultured bacterium. RNAcentral's name for it is "partial 16S ribosomal RNA". It matches the Rfam family "Bacterial small subunit ribosomal RNA", at positions 29 to 526 of the family's 1533-position model. The record is from RNAcentral.